GAUGAACGCUGGCGGCGUGCCUAAUACAUGCAAGUCGAGCGAACAGACGAGGAGCUUGCUCCUCUGACGUUAGCGGCGGACGGGUGAGUAACACGUGGAUAACCUACCUAUAAGACUGGGAUAACUUCGGUAAACCGGAGCUAAUACCGGAUAAUAUAUUGAACCGCAUGGUUCAAUAUUGAAAGACGGUUUUGCUGUCACUUAUAGAUGGAUCCGCGCCGCAUUAGCUAGUUGGUAAGGUAACGGCUUACCAAGGCAACGAGGCGUAGCCGACCUGAGAGGGUGAGCGGCCACAAUGGAACUGAGACACGGUCCAGACUCCUACGGGAGGCAGCAGUAGGGAAUCUUCCGCAAAGGGCGAAAGCCUGACGGAGCAACGGCGCGUGAGUGAUGAAGGUCUUCGGAUCGUAAAACUCUGUUAGUAGGGAAGAACAAAUGUGUAAGUAACUAUGCACGUCUUGACGGUACCUAAUCAGAAAGCCACGGCUAACUACGAG
This 497-nucleotide ribosomal RNA is filed under the name uncultured bacterium. RNAcentral's name for it is "partial 16S ribosomal RNA". It matches the Rfam family "Bacterial small subunit ribosomal RNA", at positions 28 to 507 of the family's 1533-position model. The record is from RNAcentral.